AUAUAGGGAGACAUAUUUAGUCAACAUUGCAGAAUUCAUCAGAAUGUACAGAGAAUCGUUGUUCACUGCUUUUCUUCUCGUUUUUGGACAAAUCAAUUGCCAUAGAAUAAACAAAGGUAAGGUGCAUAUAAUGUUUGAAUAUUGAACAUAUUGACAAGUACAAAAUCGAUUAUUUACAAAUUUAAAAUAAUAUACAUGACUACCGUAUAGUUAGUAACAAGUUUUUCGAUUAUCAUUUUAUAGUUAAGCCUGAAUUCGUAUUGUCCAAUAUAUAUAAUAAAUAAAACCAACUCUUUACGUAUAAUUUAUCACAUACGUUUAAUUAGUCUAUUCAGAAUUAAUAUUUAGCAACAUAGCAUUACCACUAUUUAAAAUAUUUAAUAUAUUAAUAUAAUGUACUGAAUUCUUAUAUUUACCCAAUGGUAGCUAUCUUUCUUAUUUGCGUGUUAAUAGUUAUGAUUAAUGGUCCACUGGAAUUAUUUGGUCUCAAGUGGUAAUUUUAUCUUGGCACAUUACCCAACGAUUGCGACGCAAUUCAGUUCAGAAAUUUUAUUUGCAUUUAAUCCAGUACUGUUCUGCUGCUUUUCGAUAUUUGUUGCAUUUCGAAAAUAAAUAUCAAUCAACGAGCAGUCUAAAAAAUAAACUGAACGAUUUAUAAUUUCCCGGUAGUUUAAUCGUACUGAUUACAUCUUGAAAACAGACUAAACGACUGAGCAGGACUUGAUAAUUUACGAUACAAUUUAUUGAUCACAGUCAUAUCAUAAUGACUGUUCUAGAUCAUUAAAAAAAUAAACUAACAUAAAAAAUAUUUUCCCGUGUUUAUUUUAGAAAAAUGUGUCAGGGACGUAGCAGACAAAGUUGCUAAUCUGAUCACCGAAACAAGGAGUGAAUGCACUUUGACCCCUCCAGAUGGUAAUAUGAAAAUCUUGCUUCUAUGUUAUUUGAAUUUGCUAAGCUCGUUCAUGUUAAAACAGACAUAUUUUCAAACUUUUGAAAGAAAACUGAUUAUUGUAUAUCGCAGUGAAUAAACUCAUCAUAGAUACAAGGAUUGAAAUUUUGUAUAUGCGCCAGUCGCGCGUUUCGUCUACUAAAGACUUCAGUGACGCUCGUAACAAGGCC
Molecule: long non-coding RNA, 1119 nt
Filed under: Mytilus galloprovincialis (Mediterranean mussel)
Lineage: Eukaryota; Metazoa; Mollusca; Bivalvia; Mytilida; Mytilidae
Source: RNAcentral